UUUCCGUAGGUGAACCUGCGGAAGGAUCAUUAUUGUAUAACCGAGGUGCGAGGGCUGUCGCUGACCCGAAAGGUCGUGCACGCCCGAGUGCCCUCACUCACUUCCAUCUCACCCCUAUGUGCACCACCGCGUGGGUCCCCCUUUGGCUUGUUCGGAGGGGGGCUUACGUUUUCACACAGACUUUGUAUGCAGUGUAGAAUGUAUUUUUUGUGUUUGCGAUCACGCAAUAAAUACAACUUUCAACAACGGAUCUCUUGGCUCUC
This 263-nucleotide unclassified non-coding RNA is filed under the name plant metagenome. Its description in RNAcentral is "partial contains small subunit ribosomal RNA, internal transcribed spacer 1, and 5.8S ribosomal RNA". The record is from RNAcentral.